GUCCCUAUAGCGCAAUGGAUAGCGCGUUGGACUUCUAAUCCAAAGGUCGUGGAAUGGAAUCCCACCUGGGAUU
This 73-nucleotide transfer RNA is filed under the name Trichonephila inaurata madagascariensis. It matches the Rfam family "tRNA". Rfam says of the family: Transfer RNA (tRNA) molecules are approximately 80 nucleotides in length. Their secondary structure includes four short double-helical elements and three loops (D, anti-codon, and T loops). The record is from Rfam by way of RNAcentral. Lineage: Eukaryota; Metazoa; Arthropoda; Arachnida; Araneae; Nephilidae.